AGAAGCUUAUGCGGUAAAUAGGGAAAAAACACUCGGUUCGACUCUUUGGCUUCGACCUUCAACAGACGAAGAAAAAAAAAACCCCUCGUUCGCGACCUGUCUUCUUACACGACGGCGUGCGGAGCGCCGAAACCAACACCGUCUCCGACUCUCCGUUGUUCGUUCUGCUUGUUCGCGAAGCAAGAAGCCAACAUCGUCUCCUCGGCGUGCCUGAUCGUUCACGAAGCCAAGGCCAAACAUUGCGUCAUUCUGGUUUAAAGGCCAACUAUAGUUGGGGAUUGGGACUGGAGGGAACUGAGGCCCAAGCCCUAACCUUGUAUGUCUUCCUCCAACAAUGGCGCAUUCUUCCACUACUCGUGAUUUUCACUCUUCUCCCAUCUCUGCAUCCAAUGCAUCUGAUGUCUCCGAUAACAAUCUCCAGCAUUUCUUUGUUCUCCACAAGGCUCCGGCUCGGAAAUGCGAAAGAAAAAGCUCCUCAACAUACCGGAGAACGAAAAGAAAGAUCGAUAUGUUGCUUUCUUCUCCAAUGAAAGUCGCGCAAGAAGAGAAUGAUGCUACCUACGAGCAGCUUCGCCUAGAAGCCUUUGAAAAUACUUGGUCGAAGAUUAAUUCUACUGUCAAGGAAGUUUCAAGGGAGAUCAACCUUACUUUGUUCGAGGAAAUACACCAGUGGGUUUUUGAAUCGUUCUCCACCAUCAGAUCCACUAGUCCUGUUCAUAUAAUGAAGCCAUAUCCGAUAGCAGCAGGGGCCACAUGUAAAAGAAUACCAGCGGCACUGAUCUUUACAAAGAAUAUUGAGUUUGUUGAUGAUAUGCUGAUGUUUCAAGAUCUCAAAGGGUAUAUGCAGUCUAAUGGGUGUCAUGCAGCUUUUCUCUCAGCAUUGGAUAUCUCCACAAAGUGUGGUAUCGGAAGUUGCCUAAGAAGUUUAUAUAAACAACUUGUUCCAGAGGCUUCAGAUGUUGUUGAUGUACCGUUAAUAGCCUCAUGGUAUUGCAAAGAUGAGAAUUAUGAUAAGCCAAUUGCUGUUAUAAUUGAAGACAUGGAGCGAUGUGAUAGUGCAGUCCUGGCUGAUUUUAUUAAAAUGCUAAGUGAAUGGGUGAUGAAAAUUCCAAUCAUUUUCAUACUGGGAGUGACUACUUCUUUUGAUGCCCUGAGAAAACUUCUCCCGUCAAGUGUCAUGCACAACUUGCAGCUUUGUAAGUUCACUCUGGAAUCUCCCAUAAGGAGAAUGGAUUCUCUGAUUGAGAAUAUUCUCGUAAGAUCAUCUUCUGGGUUCUUUAUUGGCCACAAGGUUGCAUUAUUCUUGAGAAACUAUUUCCUUAGACAUGAUGGAACGAUAACCUCAUUUUUAAAGGCAUUGAAGCUUGCUUGCAUUAAACACUUUAGUGGGGAACCUUUAAGUUUUUUGUGCCCGGGCAUGCUUCAUGAAGAUUGUGAGGCUCUAAUUGGGGAUCCGAGAAGUGUCAUACAUGAUGACCUUUUGAAAUCCGAUGAGUAUCUUCAGAGCACCUCCUGUAGUAAAAGAGAGCAUGUCUUAUCCUCUUCCAUCCAUGAUACUGCUAUCAUGUAUAGUCUUGCCCAAGAGUAUGGUGACCUAAUCAACCUCCAUGACUGGUAUCAUUCUUUCAAAACAAAAAUACUUAUCUCUAACCCUAAAGCCAAGCGUAAGGCCCAGCAUUCUCCUACUUCUAAAAAGGGGAAAUCUAAAGCACUGGAGAAUGAAGUGUCCAUCCAAGCAAGGUUUUGCAAAGCAGUCACAGAGCUUCAAAUUACUGGCCUAGUUCGGAUGCCGAGCAAGAGAAGACCAGAUUUUUUGCAAAGAAUUGUGUUUGACCUCUAGUCCAUUGAAGUAUUUGCAAGAUAUAUUAAAUUAAAAGCCAACUUCAUAGUAAGUGAAUCUCUUACUGUCAGUUCUCAAUUUCUCUGUCGAUGCCAGAUGUAACUGGAACUAUCUAUUUCUUGUCAGGAUAAGGCUAUGUAUUCAACCUUUCCUCAGAUUUCAAAUUAGAAAGAAGGUUCAUGCAUUAGGUAAUCCCUUUUUUAAUUUGUAAAGGCAUCAUAAACUACUCAUAACUUCUAUUAUUGUAGAAAAUUUUUUAUUUUUGUAUUAAAAAGCAGUUUUAAGAAACAAGAAGAAAGCUAUUCCAAACGAAGCCUUAGUUCACACUAAUUUUGUGUGGAUUUUAUCAUUUGAUAUACUAUCAAUUCAGUUGGCGUGAUUCUGGCAAGUGAUUAUAAUA
Molecule: RNA transcript, 2240 nt
Organism: Dendrobium catenatum
Lineage: Eukaryota; Viridiplantae; Streptophyta; Magnoliopsida; Asparagales; Orchidaceae
Gene name: origin of replication complex subunit 3
Exons: 12
Source: RefSeq, a predicted model, not a curated record